Molecule: unclassified non-coding RNA, 378 nt
Filed under: uncultured Chlamydiales bacterium
Lineage: Bacteria; Pseudomonadati; Chlamydiota; Chlamydiia; Chlamydiales
Description: contains 16S-23S intergenic spacer region
Source: RNAcentral
UCCUGGUUAACCCAGGCAGUCUCAUUAGAGUUCCCACCUUAACGUGCUGGCAACUAAUGAUAAGGGUUGCGCUCGUUGCGGGACUUAACCCAACACCUCACGGCACGAGCUGACGACAGCCAUGCAGCACCUAUAUAGAGACCCUUUCGGGAAACAACAUCUCUGUCGUCGUCCUCUACAUUUCGAGCCCAGGUAAGGUUCUUCGCGUUGCAUCGAAUUAAACCACAUGCUCCACUGCUUGUGCGGGCCCCCGUCAAUUCUUUUGAGUUUCACCCUUGCGAGCGUACUCCCCAGGCGGUAUACUUAAUGCGUUAGCUCCGGUACAAGGGGGGUUGAGCCCUCUUACACCUAGUAUACAUCGUUUAAGGCAUGGACUAC